GUGCUCGCUUCGGCAACACAUAUACUAAAAUUGGAACAAUACAGGGAAGAUUAGCAUGGCCCCUGUGCAAGGAUGACACGCAAAUUCAUGAAGCGUUCUAUAUUUUU
Molecule: small nuclear RNA, 107 nt
Filed under: Balaenoptera musculus (blue whale)
Lineage: Eukaryota; Metazoa; Chordata; Mammalia; Artiodactyla; Balaenopteridae
Source: RNAcentral